AGGUAACCUACCCUUCGGACGGGCACAACCCCGGGAAACUGGGGCUAAUUCCCGAUAGGUACCCCCUUCUGGAAUGUGGGGAUAUCCAAAGCUCCGGCGCCGAAGGAUGGGCCUGCGGCCGAUUAGGUUGUUGGCGGGGUAACAGCCCACCAAGCCGACGAUCGGUACGGGCAGUGAGAGCUGUAGCCCGGAGAUGGGGACUGAGACAAGGCCCCAGGCCCUACGGGGCGCAGCAGGCGCGAAACCUUCACAAUGCACGAAAGUGUGAUGAGGGUACUCCGAGUGCGCAUACAUUGUAUGUGCUUUUCUGCAGCGUAAAUAGUUGCAGGAAUAAGGGCUGGGCAAGACCGGUGCCAGCCGCCGCGGUAACACCGGCAGCCCUAGUGGUGGCCGCUUUUAUUGGGCCUAAAGCGUCCGUAGCCGGACAGGCAAGUCUUUGGGUAAAUCCUACGUCUUAAGCGUGGGAAUUCUAAAGAUACUACCUGUCUUGAGGCCGGGAGAGGCUGGAGGUACUCCUGGGGUAGGGGUAAAAUCCUAUAAUCCUGGGGGGACCACCGAUGGCGAAGGCAUCCAGCUGGAACGGGCCUGACGGUGGGGGACGAAACCCAGGGGAGCGAGCCGGAUUAGAUACCCGGGUAGUCCUGGGCGUAAAUGAUGUGGGCUUGGUGUGAGCGCAUCGACGAGGUGCGCUUGUGCCGUAGGGAAGCCGUUAAGCCCACCGCCUGGGGAGUACGGUCGCAAGGCUGAAACUUAA
This 754-nucleotide ribosomal RNA is filed under the name uncultured euryarchaeote. RNAcentral describes it as "bacterial SSU rRNA". It matches the Rfam family "Archaeal small subunit ribosomal RNA", at positions 102 to 859 of the family's 1478-position model. The record is from RNAcentral. Lineage: Archaea; Methanobacteriati; Methanobacteriota.